GCGGGUGUAGCUCAACGGUAGAGCACCAGCUUCCCAAGCUGGGGGUUGCGAGUUCGAGCCUCGUCGCCCGCUCCA
Molecule: transfer RNA, 75 nt
Filed under: Ammonifex sp.
Lineage: Bacteria; Bacillati; Bacillota; Clostridia; Thermoanaerobacterales; Thermoanaerobacteraceae
Description: tRNA-Gly
Rfam family: tRNA
About the family: Transfer RNA (tRNA) molecules are approximately 80 nucleotides in length.
Source: RNAcentral